RNAcentral lists this ribosomal RNA (218 nucleotides) under Paenibacillus jilunlii. Its description in RNAcentral is "partial 23S ribosomal RNA". The stretch from base 24 to 218 matches the Rfam family "Bacterial large subunit ribosomal RNA", at positions 1 to 193 of the family's 2925-position model. The record is from RNAcentral. Lineage: Bacteria; Bacillati; Bacillota; Bacilli; Caryophanales; Paenibacillaceae.
ACAGUGGACUCGAGCAUCUUUGUGGUCAAAUUAUUAAGUGCAAAUGGCGGAUGCCUUGGCACCAGAAGCCGAUGAAGGACGUAGGAGGCUGCGAUAAGCCUCGGGGAGCUGUCAACCGAGCUGUGAUCCGAGGAUUUCCGAAUGGGGAAACCCAGCCAGAGUAAUGUCUGGUUAUUCCCGCCUGAACACAUAGGGCGGGUAAAGGGAACGUGGGGAAG